This 606-nucleotide long non-coding RNA is filed under the name Daucus carota (carrot). RNAcentral's name for it is "long non-coding RNA (DCAR_LNC007184)". The record is from RNAcentral. Lineage: Eukaryota; Viridiplantae; Streptophyta; Magnoliopsida; Apiales; Apiaceae.
AGUAAAAUCAUUCACGUCACACACGUUCGGAAAAUAAACACGUAAUACCACGUAUCUUAUCUUAAUGAUAUCCCCACCGAGCACAGGGCUGAAAAAUGGGUUUCUCACUAAAACAAGAAGGGUAUGGGAGUGAUGGGAAUGGGAGCACAAAUAUGAGUUAGUGAGCAAAUAAAGUUAGUGCACAAAUUCCCGAUAAUAACGAGUGGCCAACUCGAGUAUUUUGAAAUCAAGAGAGCUUAAGAUGAAGAGAAAUUUGUUUAAAAAGCCCUUUGAAAAUGGUCGAUUAAGACUCGGAUAAUUGAAGCUAAAAGAAACCACUUACACGAUUGAUGCACGAAAGUUCGCCGGAGAAAUUCGUCGGAGGUUCGAUACGACUUUAAGCACACGAACGAAUUUGGGCAGCCCUUCGGGAGGAUGAAAAGAGUGGUUUAUGAAAAUGCUAAGAUGAGAGAGGGUUGGUUGGGUGGAACGAAGCUUCGGGGUUUAAAACCUUGUAUAUAUCGGAAUAUAUGAAGAAUCGAAGGUUUUAAAGAUGAAGUAGAAGAAGUGAGCACUUGAAUAAACUUUGGGAGAGUGUUUCUUCUCUAAAAUCUCAGCAUAUAUUUG